CAAUAGCGUAUAUUAAAGUCGUUGCGGUAAAAAAGCUCGUAGUUGGAUUUCUACCGAAGAUAGCCGGUCGGGUCUUCGACCUUGUAUCUGGUUUUGUCUUUGGUAUCCUCAUAGGGAACGUUUCUGCGCUUUAUUGCGUGGUGCGGUAUCUAUGACUUUUACUUUGAGGAAAUUAGAGUGUUCACGGCAGGCAAGCGCCUUGAAUAUAUUAGCAUGGAAUAAUAACAUAGGAUCUUCGUCCUAUUUUGUUGGUUUCUAGGGCUAAGAUAAUGAUUAAUAGGGAUAAUUGGGGGCAUCUGUAUCAACGCGUCAGAGGUGGAAUUCUUGGAUUGCGUUGCGACAAACUACUGCGAAAGCAUUUGCCAAGGAUGUUUUCAUUGA
This 381-nucleotide ribosomal RNA is filed under the name uncultured eukaryote. RNAcentral describes it as "partial 18S ribosomal RNA". It matches the Rfam family "Eukaryotic small subunit ribosomal RNA", at positions 592 to 976 of the family's 1831-position model. The record is from RNAcentral.